This is a long non-coding RNA of Dermacentor silvarum, 527 nucleotides long. RefSeq lists it as uncharacterized. The record is from RefSeq and is a predicted model, not a curated record. The transcript has 3 exons. Lineage: Eukaryota; Metazoa; Arthropoda; Arachnida; Ixodida; Ixodidae.
AGGUAUUGAAGAAGCGGAAACAGCCACAGGAAGUAGCCAUCUUAUCCAGCACGUUAUGGGUAGAACUUGGCGGCUCCUGCUCCUGCCUUCCACCACCACCCUGUCCCGACUGCUUCCACUAGAGAGUUGGCAACCUUAGUGAUGAUGCCAAGCAGUCCGAUGGCAGACGGCAAGAUGCAGGUUGCUGCGAAAUUUUACCCGAGCUUGGCCACACACUUGAGCCAGGCCUCUUGGAAAGGAUGCCAUAAUCAGACUCCACGCGUCGAUGUCAGAGGAUGCCAGGGAUCAAGGCAACCUGUUGUGCCCCACUAUUCAAUGUUUGGUGACCCUUCUAUGUGUUUCACCCAUUUCGCAGCUGUACCUCGGCUGCCAUCUAUCCAAACAGCAUCGCCAGCUGUGCCCACUUGUUGAACCAUGGGCAAAUAUUGGCAUGGAGUGUUCCCUGGGCUUCAUGUUCUAUUUGCUCUUCAGGAUUCUUGGCAAAUACUCCUGUUAUAAGUUACAUGUUUUUAGUACCGACUUUUUAA